CAUUCAUUUUCUCCGAGAUGGGUCGCGUUUUCAGUGCUUGUCUCCAACAUUUCCCCAGCAUUUCCUUCGCUGAUGUGCAAAGGAUGGUGGAAGAGAAAUCGGUGACAAAAAAGUCAAAGAUGAAGAAAGGAUACAAGUUUUUCCACGAAAACUUCAUAGAAAAACACGAAGAUGACGCUUGCUGUUGACAGUGGACGUCUGAUGGCGUUUUCCUGUAGCUGUGCAGCAGGAAGAGGGUUUUUCAACCACACCGUGGCCCUGCUUCAUCAGACAGCGCAUUAUACACAGUCUGGCCUGCAGACUGUCCUCCAUCUCUGGCCUGCAUGAGCAGUCUACAACAAUGGCAUAGAGCAAGAACUCAGGGAAUUCAUCCAGAACCUGUGAGUGAUGUGGUGGUGCGAAAGCCAACAACAGCUGGUGAGAGUGGUCGUCAGUCCACGCUGUACCAGGCAUAUACAGGACCGUUUCCCGACCCUGACUUGAUGGCGGAUGGACCCAAGCUGCAUGAGGAACAACCCCAGCCCCUCAGUGCUCCUGUGUUGGAUGGCUUGUCUGAAAUAGAGCAGGUUCCAUGGCCCUGUCCCAUGUGGAUGCCCCAUAUCAUACCUUUGUCCACAUGAAACAUCCAGUGAUCUUAUCCAGCACCACUUGGCUCCUGAAUUCCCAGUUCUUCCUCUUCCAUGGUCUCAGGAUUCCCUCUCUAACGUAUACUUCUGUUGUCUGUUAUAAAUAUUUGCUGCACUGCUGUAACAUGAUUAUUUUGAUAUUUAUUAUUUUACAGUUUUGCAUAGUGAUCCAACAUUGUACAUUCUUGUAAAUGCACACAUGGUGAUUAAUUACACAGCUCAUUUGAUAUUUCAUUCGUUAAAUAAAUUGUUCAGAAUAUAGCCUUGGCCUAUAUUGUACUGUGUAUGUGUUUAAAUCAAAUGAAUGCUUAUUGAUAAAAUAUCUUAAGCCUCAGUUGAAUUAAUUGUGCUU
This is a long non-coding RNA of Salarias fasciatus (jewelled blenny), 978 nucleotides long. RefSeq lists it as uncharacterized. Lineage: Eukaryota; Metazoa; Chordata; Actinopteri; Blenniiformes; Blenniidae. The record is from RefSeq and is a predicted model, not a curated record. The transcript has 4 exons.